CGAAGUCCUGCUUUCCUUUCCCUCGCAGUCGCGCUGCUACAUUCGAUUGACGCCAAACCAACUUUGCAAAAUGUCUGUUCAGAAGUAGCCUUACCUCCCCACUGCUGGAUGUUCACAUCCCAUCGUUCCAAAGCGCACAAAAACAAAAUCUGCACAGUUCAAGUUUCCACCCAACAGCAGCUGCAGCAGCAGGGAUUUAAUUUUAAAUGUUUUUAUUUGUAAUCUCAUGUUAAACUCCUCUCAGUCGUUGAGGAUGAGUCAACCUCCCUAAGAUGUCCAGUAAGGCAACAGUUGCUUUGUUUUCUGUGCCAUCCAUGCCAAAGGAAGUGGCUCUGUGCUGAGUGAACCCAAAGGGAUUCUAACUCCUUUGGUUUGGAUUCCUCCUCAGUGUUCAGUGAAGCCUCUCCGGCUGCAGGAGGCUCAACACUACAGCAGGCCUGUGUCUGGACUGCAGAUAUUAAAGUAGACUGAAUCCACACUGGAGAUAAAUAUGAAAGAACUCUACAAACUUCUGUUUAUUUAAUUAUUUUUUUCUGUUUCACCUAUAAAUAACCUCAAAGGGAAGCGUUGAAGGGAAUCAGUCACUUCAAGUGUCUUGGUUUUCUUGUUAUCCUCAAUGAAAGUUCUCCAAAACCCAGUGCUGGGUGUCGAUGAGCCUGGCUUCCUCUACUGCAGAUGUAUUGCAUUGUGGCAAGAAGUCGGGGAAAACCGCUAGCCUAGCAUUGUCCAAAAAUUGCUCUUAGUGUUGAUAAAUGGUUGGGUUGUCCAAAGGACAGGAAGUGGUGCAAAAGUUUCCAUGAUGGUUUGAGUCUACACUAGGGUUUGGCCUGCAUCGUUCACUGCACCACAGCUCCAUCUUGGGGUUCAGAUGAGUUGGUCAACUCCAUCUGUUGGAAACUGGGAGCAACUCCAACUACCCAAAGUUACGACUUAUAAGGUUGACUUUGAAUUUAAGUAUUGCUGCUACAUGUGGCGCCUGUGACUAUGACCUGAACAAAUAAAAAACUCUGUUUGCUUAGGGAAAGUAAAACAUAAUGUUUGUAAGAACGUGUCACCAUGUUGAAAUUCUGAGACAUUUAUUUUUGACUCUGGUCUGACGCCAAAACCGCCUCGGUUACGUCUGAGGUAACUGGAAUACAGCAUAACUAUGGAAUGUAUGUAAAGCUGGACCCAGGAAUCGGGUAAUAAGUUAAGCAAAUGUAACCCUAAAUUGCUCCCUUAUUCUAGUUGUGUUGGUUACCAACUCUCUCCUUUGGUUUUUCCUGUAUUUACCCGUUGGACAUGCUCCACCCGGGCACUGGGAGUAAUGCUCACUGACGGCAAGUUGGGAGCAAAAAUUCUACACAAAUCAGGAGAAAAUAUUAUGUUUGUGCAAUAAAAUGUCAGAUAAUGCUCAUUUACAGUUAACUGCACAGGGCAACAAUAUUUGACAUGGGGCGUUUUGAUUUUUGUUCAGUGUGUUUUAAAUUCAUUCGAAAUCCUCUUGUGGGGGCAGGAAGGGGCUGCGGGGGCAGGAAGGGCCUGCGGGGGCAGGUUGGGGGCAUCCACCGGCUCCCAUGAGCUGCAACGCUAAAGAAAACACAAGAUAAUGUCUUAAUGGUGACAUUUGAUCCAGUGUUGGAAUAGUUGAAGCAGCAGAUCUAAGCCUGUAAUGGGCUCUAAACUAAAACCACUUGGUAACCGCUGCUACUCUUGUUUUUGCAUUUGUCUUGUUCUCAGACUUUAAUACUGGAGAAGAGGAGGAUGGAAUAUUUUUCAGGAAAAAAAAGACGCUCAGUAUUCCUGACAACAGCUUUAAGUAGCCUGCGUUUCUGAUGCAUCAAAACUUCUCAAACUAUAACCAUGUGGGACUCCACCGUAUGAUGGCAUAUACAACAUUUUAAUUAACUUGUAAAGAUGUGCUAAUUGCUUUUAUUCAAUACAGAGAAGCACAUACAGCUGCUAACAAUAUUUUCUAAUGUUUAACAUUUUUGAUUUUGAUACAUAAUACUCAGUAAAAAUAUACAAACUCAACUAAAACUAAAUUUAGUUCUUAUUUAAAAUAUUUCCUUUUCAGAGGAUUCUUGCUUUUUGCUGUUUUGCUCUUUAGAUUUAAACAAGUCUAACAACCCAACAUUAGCUGGGUAAUUAGUUGGGCUAUCUGCUGAGGUAGCUAGGCCAGUUGACAAUUAUAGGUGUUAAACUGUUAACUUAAGAGUGGUUGAUGGCAUUCCUUUAGUUUCUACACAAGCACUGAAUUCAGAUAUACAGUUAAGAGAUCAUGAGAAAGGAGAGGCUAUGCUAGGCUAGGCUAGAUCAAACAUCAAAAGAUUUAAAAACUCAGUGUUUCCUGUUAGUCUGUCCUGGUUUGGAUAUGUUUGUGAUCUAAAAAUCAUGUUUAUUUUUGUAUAAAAUUAGCUGUAUAAUCAUACAGCUAAUACUUUCUGUAUGGAAAAAAAUGUCAACUCUGUGAAACUUCCACUGCUCUUGGGGGCCCCCUAUAGGUUCAGGAGAGGCUAUGCAGAUGCUCUUGUCUGUUUGCCUUGAGCUCAUUCAAGAUUCAAAAUGCAAAAUGAGAAGAUGUUUCUGGACAAAGUCAGGCCAACUGUGCGUUUCCCCCGUCUUUAUGCCACUAUUCUACCUUCAUGUUUUGUUUUUGUUUUUUUUUUUACCAAAAAAAAAGUAAAUAAAAUUUUUAGGCCACCAGAUGAGUUGAAAAGGCAAAGACAUGCAAGACUGUCCAGUGGUUUUUGGAGAACUGGAAAAAAAAACCUCAUGGCAAGAAAACAUAUCUUGUGAUUCUUCAUAUCUAAAAUGAUUUGAUGUUUGUGAUGAACCAGGUUACAUGUUACAACACUGAAAGUGUUUAACUUUAGUUAGUUUUUUUUUUUUCAUGCUCAUAACUCCCCAUGCCGGGUUCUGGUCUAGAAAAGCUAAUCAACAGCUUCUGCUUGUAAGAAGCUAAAAAAGACAAAACUGGUUUUUAAAGGAAGUGGUUUAAAGAAAAAAAGUAUGUAUUUAUGCUCUUUUUUUUUUUUUUUACGGUAAUGUACAAAGACGAAUGAUAUGCUUUGAAAUGAAACAUGCUUUAUAGUUAAAUUAAUGCUUUUUCAUUUUACCAAACUUAUUUUUCUAUUAUCGUUUUAGCAUUUGGCUGUUCUCCAUUGUCCAACUGAGCAACAUUUUUAUGAAAAGGCCAACAAAGAUGCACCUUAUGAAACGUAUUGAUGAGUAAGCUUGAACUGUAACCUCCAUCAGUGUACUACAAUACAGUUAGACACACACAUGGUAAGCCUGGUGUAGCAUUAGCACGUCAUACAUCGUUUCCCAUCUGUGAUGGAUGUCAGUGUUUCUACACACUAACCAGAUCGGUUCAGGUUAAUGAAGGGGGGAACGCUGCAGAGUGCAAUUUUUCUCUCAAUAACUCAUAUUCAGAUGUCCGCCUUUAACUUUGACAUGCCAUGAUCUGUCAAACUACUGGUUUGUGUGUGUGUGUGUGUGUGUGUGGACGCUUACCAGAACGGAGGCGUCCUCUUGCGGUGUGGCUACAUGUUGGUCAAUAUCUUCAAGUGAAAUGCCACCUGGUUCACCCCAUUAUCACUUAGGAACAGAGGACUGAAUGCUGUUGUAUCAAUCUCAAAUAUAGUUAAGUUCAAAAUUACUGUAUUGCCCAUUUCAGAAUUUAGUGCCUUUUUUGGACAGUAGACUGUUCUGUAAUUAAGAUGUAGUAUAUAAACAUUUUUUGUACAGUUUCUUUGUCCAUUUUUUAACUUGUGUUUAUUUUAGUAUGAUAUAUAUAUAUAUAUAAUGUACAAGAGAAUAAAGCUAUAUCAAUGACAUUA
Poeciliopsis prolifica (blackstripe livebearer) is the source of this 3821-nucleotide long non-coding RNA. RefSeq lists it as uncharacterized. The transcript is spliced from 2 exons. Lineage: Eukaryota; Metazoa; Chordata; Actinopteri; Cyprinodontiformes; Poeciliidae. The record is from RefSeq and is a predicted model, not a curated record.